AUACAGAAGGCCCGAGCGUUAAUCAGAAUUACUGGGCUUAAAGCGUGCGCAGGCGGUCCAGAAAGUAUCUCGUGAAAUCCCUCGGCUCAACCGGGGAACUGCGGGGUAAACUUCUGGACUUGAGAAAGGUAGGGGCUGAUGGAACCAUGAGUGGAGCGGUGAAAUGCGUAGAUAUUCAUGGGAACGCCGAUGGGGAAGCCGAUCAGCUGGGCCUUUUCUGACGCUCAUGUACGAAAGCGUGGGGAGCAAACAGGAUUAGAUACCCUAGUAGUCC
Molecule: ribosomal RNA, 274 nt
Filed under: uncultured bacterium
Lineage: Bacteria
Description: partial 16S ribosomal RNA
Rfam family: Bacterial small subunit ribosomal RNA
Source: RNAcentral